RNAcentral lists this long non-coding RNA (3312 nucleotides) under Jatropha curcas. Lineage: Eukaryota; Viridiplantae; Streptophyta; Magnoliopsida; Malpighiales; Euphorbiaceae. The record is from RNAcentral.
GCGGCGACGGUGAACUGCGCCGACAACACAGGAGCGAAGAAUCUGUACAUCAUUUCAGUGAAAGGAAUUAAGGGCCGCCUUAACCGUUUGCCAUCGGCUUGCGUUGGAGACAUGGUUAUGGCAACUGUGAAGAAAGGGAAGCCAGAUCUUAGGAAGAAGGUGAUGCCAGCUGUCAUUGUUAGGCAGCGCAAGCCCUGGCGUAGAAAGGAUGGUGUAUACAUGUAUUUUGAAGGUUUGCUUCACUUUCUUAUGCAAUUUAGUUAGUUGUUGUUCGUUUUAUUUGCUUAUUUGCUUGAUUUUAGAUACAGUUUGUUUGUGUUCGAUAGAUUCUGUAUUUUAAAUGGAAUGAGGAUAGAGAAUAUUGUAGAGAUUGAGAAUCCUCUCACUGUAUUUGUUCUUAUGAAUUAAUUUUGUAGUAUCAGUUGCUUCUUUAAUAAUAGAGUGGCCAUUGAACAAUUAUUAGUCACUUUUAAAUCUGGAGCAUAUAUAAAGUGAAUGCCAGUUUUAAACAGCAUAAUUUGCUUCCUCAGAAUUGUGCUACCUGUCUCCUGGUAAAUUUCUUUCCUGUAUGCUAGUUGUUCUGUUGUACCCAUGUUCUCGGCAAGUUAACUAUCCUUGACUUUGUUUUCUAAUGUGCCAUGUUUAAUGAUUCAAUGGAUUGGUACUUUUUUUGGCCCUUAUUGGCAUUUUUUCUUCAAAUCCAUUAGUCAUCUUGCUUUCAGAUUUUGUACAUAAUUAUUCUUGCUGGUAUGAAUUGCAUGUUUAAUUUUGUGAUGUUCCUUUUGUUGGGUAAUUUUCCUUUUACUUUGUUUGGCUUUUUAAAAUUUAUAGUUUCUAAUAGUGGCUUGUUUUUUCUGCAGAUAAUGCUGGUGUGAUUGUGAAUCCCAAGGGAGAAAUGAAAGGUAAUGAAUUUUCUGAAUCAUGAUAAUUUGAGGCAUGGAGUUUUGAACUGGCUAAAUAGAACCAAGCUGUCUAAGUAUUAUUUUUCAGCACUUUAAGCAUUUGGGUUUCUUUUGGAUUGGUUCAGAGUGCGUGUAGAAGAAUAAGACAAAUGAGUUAUAUAUAAUAAUAUAAUUCGGCAGAAAUUUUUGGGGUAUGGUUGGAAAUACGAGACGAUUCAACUCUAAACUAGCUGCUAUUGGGAUGGUUGUCUAGACCAACAUCUUUCUCUCCCUAUUUUUCUCUUUUGGCUAGGAUGAUAAAUAUUUUAAUCCCAGCUCAUUAUGAGACCUUUUUCAAGGUCUGGGAAUUGAAUUAUCCAACAUUUAUCUGAGCCUUUAUUGAUUUGUCAUUUUCUAUUUUGGAAUUAUUGUGGAACUUCGUUAUUUCACGGUGACAUAAAUGAUGGAUGCAUUUGUUUUGAACUUUCUAAAUAGAACCGAGCUGUCUUAGGAUUAUUUUUCAGCUCUCCAAGCUUUUGGUCUUAUUUUGGUUUGGUUCAGAGUUUAUGUUAAAGAAUCAAAACAAAUUGAAUUAUAUAAUUGAGCAGAAAUUUUUGGGAUAAGGUUGGAAAUACUGGACAAUUCAACUCUAAGCUAGCUGCUAUUUGCAUGGUUUGUUUAGAGCAACAUCUUUUCUCCCUUAUUUUUUCUCUUUUGGCUUUUCAUCUCUCUCCCUCACUUUCUCUUUUGGCUCCUUAUCUUUUCUAUUUUGGCUAUGAUGACAAUGUUAUAAUCCCAGCUCUAUGAGACCUUAAGGUCUGGGAAUUGACUUUAUCCAACAUUUAUCUGAGCUUUUAUUGAUUUGUCAUUUUCUGUUUCGGAAUUAUGGUGGAACUUUGUUAUAUCAGGGCAACAUAGAUGAUGGAUGCUUUUGUUUUGAACUUUCCAAAUAGAACUAAGCUGUCUUGAGAUUAUUUUUCGGCUAGCAUUUGGUCUUAUUAUUGUUUGGUUCAGAGUUUAUAUAAUUCAGCAGAAAUUUUAGUCAUAAGGUUGGAAAUACUGGACAAUUCAACGCUUAUUUAGCUGCUGUCUGCAUGGUUUGUUUAGAGCAACAUCUUUCUCUCCCUUAUUUUCUCUUUUGGCUCCUCAUCUUUCUCUCCCUCACUUUUUCUCUUUUGGCUCUUUUUUUUUUUGGGCUAUGAUGACAAUGUUAUAAUCCCAGCUCUAUGAGACCUUUUUCAAGGUCUGGGAAUUGACUUUGUCCAGCAUUUGUCUGAGCUUUUAUUGAUUUGUGAUUUUCUAUUUUGGAAUUAUGGUGGAACUUUGUUUAUUAAGGGUGACAUAGAUGAUGGACGCAUUUGUUUUGAACUUUCUAAAUAGAACCAAGUUGUCUUAGGAUUAUUUUCAGCUCUCGGUGCAUUUGGUCUUGUUUUGGUUUGGUUCAGAGUUUAAAUAAAAGAAUCAAAACAAAUUGAAUUAUAUAAUUCAGCAGAAAUUUUAGGGAUAUGGUUGGAAAUGCUAGACGAUUCAACUCUAAGCUAGCUGCUAUUUGCAUGGUUGUUCAGACCAACAUCUUUCUCUCCCCCAUUUUUUUCUCUUUUGCCUCCUUCAUCUUUCUCUCCCUUACUUUUCCUCUUUUGGCUCCUUCUUCUUUCUCUCCCUCACUUUUUCUCUUUUGGCUCCUCAUUUUCUCUAUUUUGGCUAGGAUGACAAAUGUUAUAAUCCCAGCUCUAUGAGACCUUUUUCAAGGUCUGGGAAUUGACUUUAUCCAACAUUUAUCUGAGCUUUUAUUGAUUUGUCAUUUUCUUGUUUUGGAAUUAUUAUGGAACUUUGUUAUGUCAGAGUAACAUAGAUGAUGGAUGCAUUUGUCGUGAAUUCAACUUUUUUUUUUUUUUUUUCUGUAUUUGGAAGUUAAAGGUGAACUAAAAGAUGUUACUGUUUUACAGAAUAACUUGAUAGUUCCAUUCAAUGUGACACCUGUAAUUAGUGAGAGUUUAAAAUUUAUGGAAGCCAUUGUUUUCCCUUGGCAAGGUCAUGGUUGUUUCAUAACUUAAAUAUAAGAGUGUUUGAUGGCAUAUUUUCUCGUCUUGCUUUAAUAAUAUGUGUUCAUGAUUUUUCUCUGUUUGUUUUCAUGAUUGUAGGUUCUGCUAUCACUGGACCCAUUGGGAAAGAGUGCGCUGACUUGUGGCCAAGAAUUGCUAGUGCUGCCAAUGCUAUCGUCUGAGAUUUGAAGAAAUUCAAUUGAUAUCAUUUUGUAGUGUGUUUUUGACCUUAGGAUGUAUGAUGCCCUGGAAGUAUUAUUUUGCUUGUGUGCUUUUCGGCUAGGACAGGAUGGAAUAUGUUCAGAUUUCUUUACUAAAUUUAUGUUGGUAUUUUUCCCUCAGUUUUUUUUUUUAAUAUAUGAUUACUUCACUAGUUCACCAUCUUCAAA